UACGUAGGGGGCAAGCGUUGUCCGGAUUUAUUGGGCGUAAAGAGCUCGUAGGCGGCUUGUCGCGUCGACUGUGAAAACCCGUGGCUCAACCAUGUGGUCUGCAGUCGAUACGGGCAGGCUAGAAUUCGGUAGGGGAGACUGGAAUUCCUGGUGUAGCGGUGAAAUGCGCAGAUAUCAGGAGGAACACCGGUGGCGAAGGCGGGUCGCUGGGCCGAUAUUGACGCUGAGGAGCGAAAGCGUGGGGAGCGAACAGG
This 254-nucleotide ribosomal RNA is filed under the name uncultured bacterium. RNAcentral describes it as "partial 16S ribosomal RNA". It matches the Rfam family "Bacterial small subunit ribosomal RNA", at positions 524 to 776 of the family's 1533-position model. The record is from RNAcentral.